Molecule: ribosomal RNA, 241 nt
Filed under: uncultured bacterium
Lineage: Bacteria
Description: partial 16S ribosomal RNA
Rfam family: Bacterial small subunit ribosomal RNA
Source: RNAcentral
AAGCGUUGUCCGGAAUCAUUGGGCGUAAAGCGCGUGUAGGCGGCCCGGUAAGUCCGCUGUGAAAGUCCAGGGCUCAACCCUGGGAUGCCGGUGGAUACUGUCGGGCUCGAGUCCGGAAGAGGAGAGUGGAAUUCCUGGUGUAGCGGUGAAAUGCGCAGAUAUCAGGAAGAACACCAAUGGCGAAGGCAGCUCGCUGGGACGUGACUGACGCUGAGACGCGAAAGCGUGGGGAGCAAACAGG